RNAcentral lists this transfer-messenger RNA (369 nucleotides) under Magnetococcales. Its description in RNAcentral is "JADGAQ01 sp015231925 Standard tmRNA". It matches the Rfam family "transfer-messenger RNA". From Rfam's summary of the family: Bacterial tmRNA, also known as 10Sa RNA or SsrA, is named for its dual tRNA and mRNA-like properties. Its role is to liberate the mRNA from a stalled ribosome. To accomplish this part of the tmRNA is used as a reading frame that ends in a translation stop signal. RNAcentral also lists the same sequence under 1 other name. Lineage: Bacteria; Pseudomonadati; Pseudomonadota; Magnetococcia. The record is from RNAcentral.
GGGGGUGAUACGGUUUCGACGGGGCUUAGAAAGGUCCUGGAGGCGACCCGGUAUGGUACCGCCGUAAUGGACCAACAUGCACAAACGCCAACGACGAGUUCUACGGCGAAGCUUUGGCCGCCGCCUAAAAGCGGAGGUCUUGGCUUUGGGUCCGGACCCGGACCUGGAAACAGAAGCUGAUGAAGCGGGGUCAAGCCGGAAAUGCGCAGGCCGGUCUAAAUCCAGGGGUGCCCAGUACUGCGAGGUAACGGAGGUUCCAAAGCCAGCCGGUCUGCAAGGCAGCGGAACUGAAUGACCGGCAGAUGGUCGUAAUCCCGCCAGACGGAGUACAGGUUUCGGACGCGGGUUCGACUCCCGCCACCUCCACCA